RNAcentral lists this long non-coding RNA (881 nucleotides) under Olea europaea (common olive). RNAcentral describes it as "long non-coding RNA (OEUR_LNC012152)". Lineage: Eukaryota; Viridiplantae; Streptophyta; Magnoliopsida; Lamiales; Oleaceae. The record is from RNAcentral.
UAAUUUAUAUAUUUCACCUAACAAAGUGGAAUGCUACCUCUAAGCACAGAAAUUGUUCUCUCACCCAAUAUGGACAGAAUAAUUGCCCACUUGCUAAUGUAGUGAGAAAACUUUAUUUAUUAUUCUCUCCAAUUGUGAGAAUCAUAAAGUUUCCUCUGAAGUAGAUAAUGCAUGAGUGCUCUAAGCAUAAAAAGCAAUGCAUAAGAAAUCUUAUAUUUCUUUUACUUUUAGCUUACUGUCCUCCGGGCCAAUUAAAUUUUCGUGCUGUAAUCUGUAUUAAUUGGAGGUUAGGUCAAAUAUCCCCUCUUUAAAUUUGCAUUUUUUUUUUUUUAAUUUCAGAAUGAAUGAUACCCCAAUCAAGUGCUGCUUCGAUUGAAAAACAAGUUAUGCACGCAUUUGCGAAUUAAAUUUUAGCGAGGUAAUUCAACAAACACUAAAUUGAUUUCUUAUUCAGAUGAGUAGGUCCUGAUACAAAUCCUAAGCAUAUACAGCAUACAAGCAUAGGAUAACAUAACAACCUAAAGAUGAAAAGAACCCAAGGAGUGGGGGGAUGGGGCAUCGAUCCAAUUGCAAAACCUGUUAUUGCAUUAUUCAGCCGCAGAUGAAUGUAAUACGGUUACAUGUCGGAAAGCGUUGAAGAUUUGCCAUGAACAACAUAAAGAGUAUAUUCCAAAACAACAUGUCCUGUGGCCAAAUCUACGGAAUAAGUACUCGUAAUGGCGUGUCCCUUUACCAAUCGGAAAUCACCAGUGCCACCAACAAUGGCAUAUUCACGUUUAUCCGUUACAGCGUUUCUUCCCAACAUAGUGAUUACGCUUCCAUUGUAAGUUCCGGCCUUGAACACAACAUUGAGGUUCAUAAGCGGUGCCGAUUCNNNNNNN